GUUUUAGGGUUUUGUUUUUUUUUUUGCUUUGAUUGUAGACUAGAGUUUGAAAAGAUGUGUUAACUAGGGGCCUACUCACAGGAGGUGAGCUCGGUACUGCGUCCUGCCUGGGCCAGGGGCCAGGCCACCCCCAGGCCUCUGACUAUGUUCUGGGCACACUCCCUAGAUUCCUGAUGUGAUGUGCAGGGAAGGUCACUGGCAUCCCUGCCACCCCAUGUGUCUGAGAAGUACCUACUCCAGUGUCCAGAGAGGCCUCCCAGCUGGCAGCGGAAGUGUGAACCCAGGAUCCCAGUACUCUGCUCUCCAUUUCUCACCUUGUUCAUUGCCUAUCAAGCUGCUGCCCUGAUAGGGUCUGGUCACUGUCGCAUCCACAGGGCUUUCUGCUAUGCUGAUGGCCAUCUAAUCUCCAGGACUCGUGGCUCUACCAGAUCCAACAGAUCUUCCUAUUCUGUUUCUAGAGUUCACUCCUCUGACCCUUCUGACACAGACGCAUCUUCUCUGGCCCAGAAACACAGACCUGUCUUUGUUUUAUGAACAUCUACGUAUAUUGCAGCUCUGGAGCAGAAAGAGCUGAACUAACUGGGUCAAAGGUGGAUGGUUGGACCCCUCCAAUAAAGAGGGAAUGAAGAACCAGAGUCCUGGAGUUCCUGGAAAAGCCACCAUCCUCCAAUAGGGACAUGAGCUGGGAA
RNAcentral lists this long non-coding RNA (689 nucleotides) under Callithrix jacchus (white-tufted-ear marmoset). RNAcentral's name for it is "lncRNA (ENSCJAG00000070610.1)". Lineage: Eukaryota; Metazoa; Chordata; Mammalia; Primates; Cebidae. The record is from RNAcentral.